This 394-nucleotide unclassified non-coding RNA is filed under the name Micromonospora carbonacea. The record is from RNAcentral. Lineage: Bacteria; Bacillati; Actinomycetota; Actinomycetes; Micromonosporales; Micromonosporaceae.
UAAGGAGCACCAUCCACCGAAAGGGUAUGGAGCCCGCACUGCCCGAAUGUGGUGGUGGGGUGCUCAGAUGGCGGAGACACUGGCGAGCUUUCCUCUGGCAACGGCCGGGAUACCUAGUACAGCCACUUCGGUGGUGGGAACGGUUCCUCCUGGUGCGGCUGGGUGGGGGCGUAUAGCACCCUGUUGGGUCCUGAAGGAACAACCUCAGGUUGUUGUUUCAGUGCCUUGUGGUGGGCGGGAGCCUGCUGGAGGUUGCCAGGCAUGGCCUGGUUCUCGCAUACCGGAUUCUGUCUCUGCUUGUGGGCGGGGUGGGGUUGCUGGUGUGGGGCUUUGGGGUUGUGGGUUGGUUGUUUGCUGAGAAUUGCACAGUGGACGCGAGCAUCUUUGUGGUCAA